This 259-nucleotide ribosomal RNA is filed under the name uncultured bacterium. RNAcentral describes it as "partial 16S ribosomal RNA". It matches the Rfam family "Bacterial small subunit ribosomal RNA", at positions 793 to 1055 of the family's 1533-position model. The record is from RNAcentral.
GUCCACACAGUAAACGAUGAAUACUCGCUGUUUGCGAUAUACAGUAAGCGGCCAAGCGAAAGCAUUAAGUAUUCCACCUGGGGAGUACGCCGGCAACGGUGAAACUCAAAGGAAUUGACGGGGGGCCCGCACAAGCGGAGGAACAUGUGGUUUAAUUCGAUGAUACGCGAGGAACCUUACCCGGGCUUAAAUUGCAAAUGAAUUAUGGGGAAACCCAUAGGCCGUAAGGCAUUUUGUGAAGGUGCUGCAUGGUUGUCGU